CAGACGAUGCGUCAUGCAUAUCAAUAAGCGGAGGAAAAGAAACUAACAAGGAUUCCCCUAGUAACGGCGAGUGAAGCGGGAAGAGCUCAAAUUUGAAAUCUUAAAGGGUUUCCCUUUACGAAUUGUAGUUUAAAGAAGUGUUUUCUGUUGAGGUUUUGGUAAAAGUUCUUUGGAAUAGGACAUCAUAGAGGGUGAGAAUCCCGUAUUUGACCUUUACUUUCAACUUUGUGAUACACUUUCAAAGAGUCGGAUUGUUUGGGAAUGCAGUCCAAAAUGGGUGGUAAAUUUCAUCUAAAGCUAAAUAUUGGCGAGAGACCGAUAGCGAACAAGUACCGUGAGGGAAAGAUGAAAAGAACUUUGAAAAGAGAGUUAAACAGUACGUGAAAUUGUCAGAAGGGAAGCGUUUGACACCAGUGUUGUUUUUCUGAAAAUCAAUUAAAGAACUGUUUAUGCUAAGCUGUUUAGACUUUAUCAGCUAUACUGUUUAGUUUUGAGCUUUUCUUUAAUGCACUUUUCAGUUAACAAGUCAACAUCAAUUUCUUUUGCUGUAAAAAAGCUUGAGGAAGGUGGCUUGAGAUUCGUCUUAAGUGUUUAUAGCCUCUUGCCUAUGCAGUCGGAGAGAUUGAGGUCUGCAGCGUAGAUCCUUCGGGGCUAAAUGCAUUUGUGCUAAGUUAUAGCAUUUUAUAGACAACUUGUUGACUAUGAUUUGUCUUGUAGCUUACUCGCUCAUGUUAUUUUACCUACGCUUAGGAUGUUGACACACGCGCGUGCUCG
This 774-nucleotide ribosomal RNA is filed under the name uncultured Neocallimastigales. Its description in RNAcentral is "partial large subunit ribosomal RNA". It matches the Rfam family "Eukaryotic large subunit ribosomal RNA", at positions 18 to 643 of the family's 3401-position model. The record is from RNAcentral. Lineage: Eukaryota; Fungi; Neocallimastigomycota; Neocallimastigomycetes; Neocallimastigales.